RNAcentral lists this long non-coding RNA (34312 nucleotides) under Capsicum annuum. Its description in RNAcentral is "long non-coding RNA (CANN_LNC010875)". Lineage: Eukaryota; Viridiplantae; Streptophyta; Magnoliopsida; Solanales; Solanaceae. The record is from RNAcentral.
GAGAGCCGACAAGGAAUUCCAUUAAUAACUGGCCGUUUUGAUCCUUUGGAACAACUCGAUGAAUUUAGUAGAUCGUUUUAGGAGGCCCUAAUGACUAUAGAUCGAACCUAUCCAAUUUUUACAGUACGAUGGUUGGCUGUUCACGGCCUAGCUGUACCUACCGUCUUUUUUUUGGGAUCAAUAUCAGCAAUGCAGUUCAUCCAACGAUAAACUUAAUCCGAAUUAUAGAGCUACGACACAAUCAAACCCGAACGAACAAAAUGUUGAAUUGAAUCGUACCAGUCUCUACUGGGGGUUAUUACUCAUUUUUGUACUUGCUGUUUUAUUUUCCAAUUAUUUCUUCAAUUAAGAAAAAGAAAGAGAAUAAAUAAGAUUCUCUUAGCUCAUUCGGAAGGAUCUCAUAAUUUAAUUAUCCAUGACUGUUUAUGUCUCUAGCAUGACCACUUGAUGAAAUCUGGAGGGAAGUGGGGUAAAUGGCCGAUACUACUGGAAGGAUUCCUCUUUGGAUAAUAGGUACUGUAGCUGGUAUUCUUGUAAUCGGUUUAAUAGGUAUUUUCUUUUAUGGUUCAUAUUCCGGAUUGGGUUCAUCCCUGUAGUAAUCGAAUGAAUUGAGUUAUCAACAUGAAAGCGUAAGAACUCAACGGGAUUCCCUUCCUUGUUUGUUUGAUUCGAAGGGGAAGGGCCCGUUGAGUUCUUAAGAAUCAUACUAUUUUUUUCGUCUAAAUGAUAAAAUGAAAUAAUAAAAUGGAUUUCUUUUUCUUUUCAAAAACUCCAUUUUUCUCAUUUUUCUGAUCAUGUUUUUUAAAAAUUCACUUCAUUGAUUUAUUCAGACCACCUCUUCUUUUUAUAUGAUAGUAUCUAUUUGUAUAAGAUAAGUUGAUUGAAGAAGUUUUAUUUAAUUAAUAAAAUUUCCUCUCUUUUUUUGUUUUGUUUGUCCACCACUCCAUAUAUUAUACGUAAAGGGGGCGUAGGGUAACGGGUUUCUGAUACAUCUGGAAAAAUCGAAACCAAGACUAGGAAUUUUUAACAAACAGGAUCAAGAAUCAUUACUCUUUCGUUUCGACACAAGAAAAAAGGAUUUUUCUACACCCCUUUCUUGUGUCGAAGACUGGGAAGACAAAUAAUCCCUUCUAGGAUUUUUUCUUCCACGCAUUUAUCCCCCGCUUCCUUAUGUCUAGUAUUUAGACAAAUUUUACUUUCUUUCUAUUUAGAAUAGAAAACUAUUGAUACGUCUUAUGUCUUAUGGCAGUGAAAUCUAUCAAUAGUAACAUAGUCCUACUACUCCAAUAAAAAAAACUAAAUCAAAAUAAUGAAAGUCAAAUACUCUUCUUUAAAUUCUACAUUACAUACUCUUUUUCUACGAGAUGCUGGGAAUCCCUUGUACCACAUAGUAUGUAGAUUUUGAAGAAGAGUAUAAAUAAGACAAAGGAGUUUUCAGAAUUUAAUUUUUUUUUUAUUUUUUUGAUCAUAAAUAAUCGCCAACAAGAAUUUGGUUCUUUUUACGAACUUGAUAUCGAUAAAUCUGCGAAUCUAGAAAUUCAUUUCGGCCAAUUGAACCUUCUCAAACUGUUUCUUUUUAAGAACCAAAAAGAUUUGUGCCAAAAUAACAGAUGCCAAGAAGAACAAAAGUCCUUGGACACGUAAUGGAUCUUGAAGUACUAUUUCUGCAUCUCCCUGACCAAAUCCGCCUAUAUUAGGAUUACUCGUUAAUGGUUGAUCAAAUUUGAUAGAUUCGCCCUCGGAAACAAGAAGUUCUGGUCCGGGAGGGAUAAUAUCAACCACUUGACGUCCCUCCGACGCAUCCGUUAUGGUUAUCUCAUAUCCCCCUUUUUCUUUUCGUAUGAUUUUGCUUACUAUACCUGCUGCUGUAGCAUUAUAAACCGUAUUGUUACUCUUGCUGCCGUCGGGAUAAAUCUGACCCCUUCCCCUGUUACCGCCUACGUAUAUAGGAUAUUUUAAGAAGUGAACAUCCUUCGUAGUAGCAGGGUCCGGGGAAAGAAUAGGGAAGGUUAUUUCACUAUAUUUUUUACCAGGGACAGGGCCUACCACAAGAAUAUUUUUUUUAUUGGGGCGAUAGCUCUGAAAAGACAAAUUGCCAAUCCUUUCUUUCAUCUCGGGAGAAAUACGAUCGGGAGGAGCUAAUUCAAACCCCUCCGGUAAAAUAAGAACAGCCCCCACGUUCAACCCCCCCUUUUUACCAUUAGCAAGAACCUGUUUCAGUUGCAUAUCAUAAGGAAUUCGAACAACUGCUUCAAAUACAGUAUCAGGAAGUACCGCUUGUGGAACCUCAAUCUCCACGGGCUUAUUAGCUAAAUGGCAAUUGGCACAUACAAUACGCCCAGUCGCUUCUCGUGGAUUUUCAUAACCCUGCUGUGCAAAAAUGGGAUAUGCACUUGAAAUGGAUGUCCGAGUUAAGAUAUAUAUCAUGAGCGAUACGGAAAUAGAUCGAGUAAUCUGUUUCUUUAGCCAAGAAAAAGCAUUUCUAGUUUGCAUGGUCCAAUCAUUGAUCGCGAAAAUUUCUACAAUAAAUUGGGUAGGUCGCUAGUAUAGUUCCCUAGCCACGAUUCUGCUAUUUGCUGGAAUAAUCUAGAAAUAAUAUAGGAUGAAUCUUCCCGAUGGUUAGAAAUAGAAAGAUAAAAUACGAUUUUCAAUACUUUGCUUAUGUACAACUACAAAGUACCAAGCAUUCUAAUUGGAUUAGAUUAAUAUCAAUGGAUCCUUUAUCAGUCAUUCAUUGAAUGAUAAAUAACUACAAGUGACGGAGACAGACGAUUUAAAUAACGGAAAAUCCAAUAUUUAAAAAUUGUAUCGAGAAUGACUGGGAAGGUGGAAACAAGACCAGAUAUAAUUUGAUCAUUAUGAACAAACCCAAAAUCUUUAUAGAUAGAGCCAAUAAUUAAUUCCCAACCGCGGGGUGAAUGGAAUCCGAUACAUAAAUCAGUUAAUAAAAGAAUAGAAAAAGCUUUUACUGUGUCACUUACGUUAUAUAGGAAUUCCUGAGCCCAAGAGUUAAGAAUAACAAGUUUUUCAUUACCCAAAAUUGAAUACCCGCUUAGAAUAAUAAAACAGAUGAUAUUUGUUGAGAAGUGCAAAAUCGUAUGGAUACGAUUCUCAUUUUGCAUCUUGAUUAAUUGGAUCGUUUCUUUAUGGAUUCCUAUCCCAAACUCUUCGAGAUGUGUUUCCGAGUAUUCCUUGAUCAUUUCGUCCAAGAAGAGGAGUUCCUCUAAUUCUAUGAAUUUUUCUAGAAGACUCUUUUCUUGAAUAGUAUUCAAGAAAAUUUCGGAUUGCCCAGUAUUCCACCAAUUAGUAACCCAAGAUUCCAGACAUUUAUUAACUGAGAAAGAAAUCCACCAGGGCAAAAAUACUAUAUAUGCAAGAUAGAAAAGAGGGGUGAAUGCUUUCUUUUUUGCCAUUUUUUCAUCUGUGAAUUGUUAAUCAACCCAUCCGUACACUCUAUGCGAUCGAAUAUUUCUUACACACAUGAGUUUUAUACAAGGUAUCGAACUUAUGAAUCUAUUUUCUUUGUGAUUUUGUGGUUAGUCUUUGAAUCUAGAAAGAAUACAGAAAUAGGCUAAGAAUUCACUUCGAAUGAAGAAAUUGAGAAUAUUGUUUCCUGAUAUCUCAAUUGGUCAAAUUCAAAAUCAAGUGUCUCCUUUCGAUGAAUGAUCGAAAGAACCACUUUAAGUAAUGAAUAUUGUUCAGAUUUUGAGAAGAAAGAACUCCCUUGCUAUCAAAAUAUCCAAUAUUUCGAAAAAAUUUCACUAAUUACCCAUAGUCAGGAAUAGAAUAAUUGAGGGAAAGAUAUUACGAUGAUAAAAAAAAAUGACUGGCAAAAGAUAAAUUGGCUAGUUCUCAUUAUUUAAUUAAGAAAUCCAAUUGUUGGUCAUUAAAGAAUACAAAAGAAAGAAUUUCCAAUUUACAAGAUAUGAUCUAUCUGGAUCUAAAGUGUCAAUUCCAACAAAUAUUGAACUAAAAAAAAUUUCUUGAUUUCGAAAUGGUUUGCCAUCUGAGAUGAAUCUAUUAUUUCGAUUUGUUAUUUGUUAUUGAAUUGCGUGGGUUUACAUACGCAUAAAGACCAUAAAAAGAGUUUCGUUUUAUGGUUCUUUCAUAUACGUUUUCUUUAAUUGAAUGAACGUUCUGAUUCUCAAUUUCUCAAAAUACUUCAAUUGGUACACGCAAGAAAUAGGCUAAUUCAGCAGCCUUUUGUUCAAUUUCUCGUGGAGUCAAAUUCUCAUCAGUACGGGUUAAGGGAAUGGACCCCUGGCCUCGGAUGUCCAUAUAAAGAACACGACGAGCAUAAAUACCCUCUUUAACUUCUAUUCUAACGGACUGAAUAUCUUUUAUAAGGAAUCGGAGGAAUAUGCGACGAUUUUUUCCCGGAAAUCCCCAACGAAAAAUACAGACUAUUCCUUCCUUUAUAUCGAAUCGAUCAUAACCACUACCUACAUUCCAGGAAAUUGUGCACCACAAAUAAGAGCUAAUAAAGAGACCCGCAAUUCCGUAGAAAGACAUCACGAUUCCUUGUGGAAAAAAAAUGAUUUGCUGAGGCGGAAAAAAAGAUAUCAAAUUUCUACCAAGAUAACUGGAAGUUCCAACUAAUAAGAAGCCUAAUGAACCUAAAAAAAGGAUAAAGGCCCAGCAGAAAUUACUUAUUUUUCGAGACCCCGUUAUAAGUUCUAUCCAUAUAUGUUCUGAUCGCCAAGUCAUACUUUACCCGAUUGCAUUUUAUUAGAAUUGAGAUAAUACCCCAUAGAAAUUUGACUUUACUUUUUUGUUUCCGAAGUAACUCUCAUCAACUAGCACUAGUUUGAGGUGAACUAGCACUAGUUUGAUGUCAACCUUUAGGAGUAAUUCAUCAAAUUGGUUAAAUCUAAAAUAAUAACAUACUCUUUAUUUAAUACGAUCCCACUAUACAUAUCGAUAUACAUAGAGAUUAACCGACUACAUUUCAGCCAUCCAGUGAUCCUGAUCUAUUUGAAAAUUACUAGAAUGGAUAUAUCCAUAUAUCAUGUUUCUGCAGGCAUAAGAGUUUUUUCCUUUAUGUUCGGUAGAAAUCACAUGUUAUACUCUAUUCCAAUAAAUAGAUAUCCGUGUUAUGAUACAAGUCCACGUUUUCAAAAAAAAAUGGAUGAGAUUGGGUCCCAGCGUAUCUAAACAAUCUUGUUUUUUUGAACAUGAAUAAAUAAAGAAGCCAUUGCAAUUGCCGGAAAGACUAGGCCUACUAACGGCACAAAAAUAGAUGGAAGGUUCAAAUUUGUCAUAGAAGGGGUACCUCGAUUUACUAUAUUGUAUCUGUUAUUAUGUUAUUAUAUAAAUAAAGAUAUCUUGUAAUAAUUAAAUAAUUAUAAUUAAAUUAAGAAUUUGAAUUCUAAUUAGAUAAUAUUUAUUAUUAAUAGAAUUUGAAGAAUUUGAAAUUCUUAGUAUAGAUCUAAGUAUCUAUAUAUCUAAAUCUAACUGAGUACGUAUAAUAAGAAUAAGUGCAAAGAAUGUAGAACUAAAUAAAUGGACUUAUUCAUCUCUUACAUGAGAAAGAUAUGUAUCAUAAUAAACUUUAUUAUUCAUUUCUUUGUCUUUUGUUCUUGUCUUCUAAUUUUCUAAAAAUAGAUAAAGAGAUUAUCGAAAGAUUCGUUCGAAUCCGACCCAACAUGAAUUUUUAGCUAAAAUGGUUUUUAGGGAGAUAGAGAAAGAUACAAAACUCUAUUAUCUAUAUUUUAAUUUCAAAUUAUAUACCUAAGACAAGAAGAAAUUCGUUUUAUUUUCCUAAUUUCACGAAAGGAAGAACUCACUCUUGGUGAUAAAGGCUUCUUGAUUCGUAAUCAGGAAUAUAGGUCAAAAAAGAGUUAUCCUCAACUUUAGUUUUGAUUCUUUCUACAAUUAGAUCUUCUAUCACCAAAGAAAGGGCCAUUAUUAUCUUAUUUACUUUAUCUUAUUUACUUUGAUUCCGAUAAACUAACUACUUUUUUGCUACAAACACAAAUAAAAUAAAAUAAUGGCCUUAGUGCUCUACUUGAUUUUGCUUGACUUUUGAUUCAAAGGAAAAAAGGCGUGGAGCUUAAAUAACUCACUCAGAACGCUUUUUAAAAGAUUACGUGGUACAAUUAGGUCGAAUAAACCCUUCUGGAAUAAGUAUUCAGCUACUUGUGAACCUUCGGGUACUGUUUUAUUCAAUGUUUGUUCAAUUACUCUUUUACCUGCAAAUGCAAUGUAGGCAUUGGGUUCGGCAAUAAUGAUAUCCCCCAACAUACCAAAACUAGCUGUCACUCCACCAGUUGUCGGAGAUGUAAGGAUUGAUACAUAAAAUAAUUUUUUAUUUAAUUGAUAAUCAUAUAAAGCAGACGAUAUUUUAGCCAUUUGCAUCAAGCUCAAACUUCCUUCCUGCAUGCGCGCCCCCCCAGAAGCACACACUAUAAUAAGAGGUAAAAUUUGAUUGGCAGCGUGUUCAAUCAAACGGGUGAUUUUCUCUCCGACUACGGAUCCCAUACUACCCCCCAUAAACUGAAAAUCCUACAUCACUCAUGUUAUGAUUGAUGGAGGUUCAGGUGCAAAUAUUUGCCCUAUUUCUACUUUGCAAAAGUUGAAUAUUGGUACUGACAGGAUCAGGCCCAACAAUGUAUGUGUUAGGGCUUUCAAAUUCCAUUGGCGAAAUAGAACUAAUGUUGACCAUAGGGCCUGUUGAGUUCGCCAUAGAGUUUCAAGUAUUGGAUGUAGACUCCUUUUACAAUCUGUUGUUGGGAAGGCCGUGGAUCCACAAGGCCAAGGCGGUUGCAUCUACACUGCACCAAAUGAUUAAGUUUGAGCAUAACAGGCAAGAAGUAGUUAUUCAUGGUGAAGGAGAUUUGUCAGCCUACAAAGAUUCUCCCUUGUCUCUUAUAGAAGAAAAUAAUGUAAAGGAGACAUUCGUCUAUCAAAUUUUUGAUACAGUACCAGUGAGUCGUAUCCUUGAAUAACAGGUUAUACCGGGACCACAAUUGUCUUCUGCUUCUAUCAUGAUGGUGAGUGAACUUUGGAAAUACGGAUUUGAGCUGGGAAAGGGUUUGGGAGCAUCUCUGCAUGGUAUAGUUCAUCCCAUAUGUCCGAGUGAGAACGUGGGCACGUUUGGUCUGGGAUUUGAGCCUACGGCUGAAGAUCUAAAGAAAGCUAAGGGAAGGAAAAAGGAAAUAUGGUCACUCCCUCUUUCAAUGCCGUUACUCAGUGAAUCAUUUGUUAAGAGCGGUGUCACGAAGCAUGUGGAAUUUGAAGUUAAAUGGGUUGAUGACUGUCAGAAUCUUUUUAUUGAAGUUGAUAUGGUCAAAGCAGGAGAAGGUACUAGUAUAGCAGACGUGCAAUUCAUAGGUCCAGCUGUCCGACUCAAUAAUUGGGAAGUCACUCCUCNNNNNNNNNNNNNNNNNNNNNNNNNNNNNNNNNNNNNNNNNNNNNNNNNNNNNNNNNNNNNNNNNNNNNNNNNNNNNNNNNNNNNNNNNNNNNNNNNNNNNNNNNNNNNNNNNNNNNNNNNNNNNNNNNNNNNNNNNNNNNNNNNNNNNNNNNNNNNNNNNNNNNNNNNNNNNNNNNNNNNNNNNNNNNNNNNNNNNNNNNNNNNNNNNNNNNNNNNNNNNNNNNNNNNNNNNNNNNNNNNNNNNNNNNNNNNNNNNNNNNNNNNNNNNNNNNNNNNNNNNNNNNNNNNNNNNNNNNNNNNNNNNNNNNNNNNNNNNNNNNNNNNNNNNNNNNNNNNNNNNNNNNNNNNNNNNNNNNNNNNNNNNNNNNNNNNNNNNNNNNNNNNNNNNNNNNNNNNNNNNNNNNNNNNNNNNNNNNNNNNNNNNNNNNNNNNNNNNNNNNNNNNNNNNNNNNNNNNNNNNNNNNNNNNNNNNNNNNNNNNNNNNNNNNNNNNNNNNNNNNNNNNNNNNNNNNNNNNNNNNNNNNNNNNNNNNNNNNNNNNNNNNNNNNNNNNNNNNNNNNNNNNNNNNNNNNNNNNNNNNNNNNNNNNNNNNNNNNNNNNNNNNNNNNNNNNNNNNNNNNNNNNNNNNNNNNNNNNNNNNNNNNNNNNNNNNNNNNNNNNNNNNNNNNNNNNNNNNNNNNNNNNNNNNNNNNNNNNNNNNNNNNNNNNNNNNNNNNNNNNNNNNNNNNNNNNNNNNNNNNNNNNNNNNNNNNNNNNNNNNNNNNNNNNNNNNNNNNNNNNNNNNNNNNNNNNNNNNNNNNNNNNNNNNNNNNNNNNNNNNNNNNNNNNNNNNNNNNNNNNNNNNNNNNNNNNNNNNNNNNNNNNNNNNNNNNNNNNNNNNNNNNNCACUUCAACAGGGGAAACCCCAUAUUUAUUGGUGUAUGGGACAGAAGCAGUCAUCCCUGCAGAAGUUGAAAUUCCCUCUCUUCGAGUCAUUGUAGAGGCAGAGAUUGAUGAUGACGAAUGGGUAAAAACCCAACUAGAAUAUUUGAGUUUGAUUGAGGAAAAAAGGCCAGCGUCUGUGUGUCAUGGCCAGUUAUAUCAGAGGAGGAUGGCUCGAGCGUAUAACAAAAAGGUCCAUCUUAGGAAUUUUGAAGUUGGUCAGUUGGUAUUGAGACGUAUCCUUCCUCACCAGGUUAAAGCGAAAGGCAAGUUCUCCCCUAACUGGCAAGGUCCCUUCAUUGUGAAGAAAGUGUUGCCCAAUGGAGCCUUAUAUUUGACAGAUAUUGAAGGCAAAAUGAUAGAAAUGGCUAUCAAUGCUGAUGCGGUCAAAAGAUACUAUGUAUGAUAUUUGAUCCUUUGUUGAUUUUAUUGCAUGUUUAGUACUUUUAUUUUGAAGAUUGAUAUGAUGAAGACAUUUUAUUCUUUUAUCCAAACAUUGUGUCAUCCCUUGUUUACCCGUUUGAGCUUCGUUUCAUUUUUUCUUUUAUAUCCCUCUUUUGGAAUCAAAAUAAAGUCAAAGAUAAAUGUCGAGGAAAUGAGAAUAAAAGAAAGAGUUCAAAAAUUAAAAAAAAAAAAAUCAAAAUCAAAUCAGAACAAAGAACAAGCUGAUGGAACUACGUUUGACCUGAUUCUCCUCUCUCGGGAGUGAGAUACGUAGGCUGCCCUAUUUUAAGCUCGAUCCAACCAAAUAAAGAUUUAAGAUUCACCCAGUCAACAAAACUGGGGCAUGAGUUAAUGUGUUAUUUGAGUCGAUUCCAAAAGUUGUAAGUCCCACCCCCACUUCAAGUAUCAUUUGAGCCCCUUACCAUCUUUUCUAACCUUAACCAAAAGCCAAGUUACAACCAAAGAAAGUCCUUCAGAUCAAUUUUUGAUAAUGUUAAGGCUAAGCAUGCAAUGGAUAUGAUGAUACAUUGUGAGGUACCACUUGUCUCCNNNNNNNNNNNNNNNNNNNNNNNNNNNNNNNNNNNNNNNNNNNNNNNNNNNNNNNNNNNNNNNNNNNNNNNNNNNNNNNNNNNNNNNNNNNNNNNNNNNNNNNNNNNNNNNNNNNNNNNNNNNNNNNNNNNNNNNNNNNNNNNNNNNNNNNNNNNNNNNNNNNNNNNNNNNNNNNNNNNNNNNNNNNNNNNNNNNNNNNNNNNNNNNNNNNNNNNNNNNNNNNNNNNNNNNNNNNNNNNNNNNNNNNNNNNNNNNNNNNNNNNNNNNNNNNNNNNNNNNNNNNNNNNNNNNNNNNNNNNNNNNNNNNNNNNNNNNNNNNNNNNNNNNNNNNNNNNNNNNNNNNNNNNNNNNNNNNNNNNNNNNNNNNNNNNNNNNNNNNNNNNNNNNNNNNNNNNNNNNNNNNNNNNNNNNNNNNNNNNNNNNNNNNNNNNNNNNNNNNNNNNNNNNNNNNNNNNNNNNNNNNNNNNNNNNNNNNNNNNNNNNNNNNNNNNNNNNNNNNNNNNNNNNNNNNNNNNNNNNNNNNNNNNNNNNNNNNNNNNNNNNNNNNNNNNNNNNNNNNNNNNNNNNNNNNNNNNNNNNNNNNNNNNNNNNNNNNNNNNNNNNNNNNNAUAUUCAUGCUUUUUGUCUUUUUAUGUCAUUUAUCAAAAUAAAAGUCACCAUCAUUUCUUUAUAUUUUAAGUCAAGUUUGUGUCAAAACAAGCGAGAAAGGAUUUCAAAAUUUACUACCAGUCUUUCCAAUAUAUGAGGAAAAGCCAAGGAACAACACAGGAAGAAAUAUGAUCGUAAUUCAACACGAAGCAAAGGAAGUCUAUCAACCGACAGGCUAUUGGAUUCGUAGAAAUAUUCAGAUUUAGGAAAAAGUGCACCUCAGGGGCAUGGUAAAAUGGAAACCCAUUGUUCGAGUCAGCACUCACUUCCCUCUAUAUGGAUCCGGGUCAAUGAUGCGGAAAGGCAGGAAACGUGUUAGCGAUUUGGAACAAAGAUAAAAGGAACGAGUGCUGGGCAGAUACCUGAAAAGCCAAGAUCUGCAAGCCACCACUAAGUUUUUAACUGACAAAUUUUCUUUGUUGAAACAGGGGCAAAUUCGUUUCACUUGAUUCAGCUACCAUUGGAAAUGAACAUUCGUGAGAUUUUACUUUCUGUUCAGGACCCCUCUGAAAAAUGGGAUUUUACUUUAUGUUCAGGACCCUCAUGAAAUAUGGGAUUUUACUCUCUGUUCAGGGAUUUUACUUUCAGUUCAGGACCCUCCUAAAAAAUGGGAUGUUAUUUUCUGUUCAGGACCCUCCUAAAAAAUGGAAUUUUACUUGUUGUUCAGGACCCUCCUGAAAAAUGGAAUUUUACUUUCUGUUCAGGACCCUUCUGAAAAAUGGUAUUUUACUUUAUAUUCAGGACCCUCCUGAAAAAUAGAAUUUUACUUUAUGUUCAGGACCCUUUUGAAAAAUGGGAUUUUACUUUAUGUUUAGGACCCUCCUGAAAAAAUGGAAUUUUAGUUUAUGUUCAGGACCCCCCUGGAAAAUGGAAUUUUACUUUCUGUUCAGGAUCCUUUUGAAAAAUGGGAUUUUACUUUAUGUUCAGGAUCCUUCUGGAAAAUGGGAUUUUACUCUCUGUUCCGAACCCUCCUGAAAAAUGGGAUUUUACUUUUUGUUCAGGACCCUACUGAAAAAUGGGAUUUUACUUUAUGUUCAGGACCCUCCUGGAAAAUGAAAUUUUACUUUCUGUUCAGGACCCUCCUAUAAAAUAGGAUUUUACUUUAUAUUCAGGACCCUCUUGAAAAAUGGGAUUUUACUUUAUGUUCAGGACCCUCCUGGAAAAUGAAAUUUUACUUUCUGUUCAGGACCCUCCUAUAAAAUAGGAUUUUACUUUAUAUUCAGGACCCUCUUGAAAAAUGGGAUUUUACUUUAUGUUCAGGACCCUCCUGGAAAAUGAAAUUUUACUUUCUGUUCAGGACCCUCCUAUAAAAUAGGAUUUUACUUUAUAUUCAGGACCCUCUUGAAAAAUGGGAUUUUACUUUAUGUUCACGAACUUCCUGAAAAAUGGGACUUUACUUUCUGUUCAGGACCCUCCUGAAAAAUGGGACUUUACUUUCUGUUCAGGACCCUCCUGGAAAAUGGGACAACACUUUCAAAAAUGAAAUACUACUUUACUAUAAUGUUUUGUUUGGGAUAAUUUUUGUUCUAGUUUUAAUUUUGGGUUUCAGGAGCCCGCCUGAAGAACAGGGUGAUGAAAUAACAAGUCAGGAGCCCGCCUGGAGAAUAGGAUGAAGAAACGAAAAGUCAAGCAACAAAGCGAAGCAAUUGAAAGUCAAGCAACAAGUUGGAAGAAAUUGCAAGUCAGGAGCCCGCCUGAAGAUUAGGGUGAUAAAAGUUGAGUCAAGAACCAACAAAAGCUGUAUAGAUAGGAUUUUUGUAAUUUCAUUUAUGUUUUAACUUGUAAUUUUCAUUUUUGAUGUAAUAACAGAGCCGCGAACCGGAACCUCGAUGGAACCUCACUCGACUCUCCAACUCGGUAUAGUCCUUCUCUUCCAAUCCUCUGAAAUACCCGUGACUUGAUUCUCUCAUAAUUUGGGUAGGAAGGAUGUCCUAAUUCAAGACCCGGUAGUCCUUCUUUCUUCUGUUUCUUCCUUUGAAUAAUGGGCGGGACAAAAAUUCUGUCUCGUUUUCUACUUCUUUGUCUGAAAACACUGCGUGUUUACAUUCAAAGGGGGCAUGAUGUAGACACCUAAUUUUGUCCCUCCCCGAUGUCGUUUUUACCCAUUUUAUUUUUAUCCUAUCGUGUACCCUCACCCAUGAUAUUAUAUCCUCACAAAAUAAAAAAAAUGUAACAAAAUCCCUAACAAAACCUAUCCUAACUAAUUCUAUCUUAUCCUAACAACCUACCCAAUCAAAAUAAACCACACCACACCACCCCAUACCCUACCCCACCUACCCUACCCCAAUACCCACCUCACAAUAUAUACACACAUACUCUCACGUAAGAAAGGGGAUCAGUAACCCAAAAAAAGAAAGAGAGCAGAUCUCAAAUUUUUUUUUCUUUUCCCAUUUCCAUCAUCUUCUUAACCUCACACCAUUAACACACAGACCUCACGAUUCACACACACACACUCGCUCUAGCUGGAAAACACUUGUGCACACACACUCAGUAAGGAGAAACGAAAAAUGGAGGGCGUUUGACGGAAUCCGACGAAGGAAUAGGGAAAGCGGCGAGAAAUCAAAUUUUCGUUCAAGCUUUUUUCGGUGACCUAAGUACCGGAUUCAGUUUCAGUGUCAGUUGUUCAAAUCAGUCUCGUAAUCGCCCAAAUCUCUUUAUUUUUCUUCGAUUUUUGGACGAGAUUUAGCCGGAAUCCGACCGUUUAGUUGUUUUUCGAUCACUGUUCUGGCGAGUCUACACUGAUUUGGAGCUCCGGUGAGUUGCCAACAGCAACCCAGUUGCGAUUCGGUUACGGGUUUGAGAGAGAAAUAGACAAAGGUUAGUGACGAGAGGUCUGCUCCGGUGACCCGAACUCGCCGGAGCUCCGGUGACUCAUAUGAGUAGUUUCUACCUUGACUGGUGUCAAAACCAUCGAAAAACAUCGCUAAUAGCGACCCACAAACCAAUCGCUCACAAAUCCGUUGAAAACAGUAACCCCCGUCGACCGAAAGCAUAUCAGUGACCAAACUAGCUGAUUUCGAUGAGGUUAGUUUGGGUUCGACGAGAUUUUUGACACUGUUAUCUCGGGCUUUCGCAUUUUCAGUGAUUCAAAUCCGUGCGAGUCAUUACUUUUCAUUAUUGAGGUGGUGUGAUUUGUUCGUGAUUGAGGUUCGAUGUUGAGGUUCCGUUGGACGCGGUUCUAUUUGGGAUAUUCGGACGCGGUCUUCGUUUUUUCACUUGAUUAAUAUUGGAAUUUGAAAGCUACGAAUCGAGGUCCAAUUCUAUUCCCCUCUUUUGUUUCAUGUUUAUUAUAUUUGAUGUUUGGAAUGAAUAUUGUGUUUGUUUGAUGAUUGUGACGUGGUGAUAUGUUUCGAUAUUAUGUUGGAGAAAUCGCAAUUACUGUGGUUGAUUUGAUUGAGACUUAUUUAAUCAUGUUGGUUGAAAUAAAUUUGGGGACGGGAAUCGAACAUUGAUAAAAGUGAAUAUUAUGAUAUUUUUGAUACAUUGUUGAUGUUGAAUGUGAUAUGUCGUCGAGCGGGUAGGCAAACAGUAAGCUCGGGUAGGCAAGUUUAGGAUUGGUAUAGUGUUGGAAUGAUUGAAAUAUUUGUUGAAUGUUUUGUUUAUUGUAUUUGAAAAGUGUAUUUAUUUAACCGGGGAAUGCCUCGAGGUAAUUUGUAUUUACUCACCGGGGAAUGCCCCAAAGAAUUUUAUACGCAAAGGAUGCUCGUGAUCAAGGCCCGAGGUAUCGGGUAAAGCAUAGUUUAGGACUAGUGUAGGUUAUUUCAGUUUUUAUUUCGGGUUGUAAUAAUUGGACUGGACUUUACAUUUUGUUUUGUUCUGUUAUUGUUUGAUUAUUUUGCGUUCUUUUGUGUGGUUUAUACAUUUCGUAAUGCCAAAAUUAGUUGAUACACUCUACCAAGCGACCGUGGUUGAACCACGGGAUCGAGGGGUGCCUAACACCUUCCCCUCGGUCAACAGAAUUCCUUAGCCGGAGUCUCUGUUCGCAAACCAGUUUAAAGAGUCAAAUGAUUUUGAAAAGGAUUUUUCCAAUGGUGACUUGGCACACCAGAUUAUGCCAAGUGACGACUCUGAGUAAAAAAUGUAAAUAAUCCUUUUUUAGAAAUAAAUUUUCAUCUUUUGUCACUUUAAUAAUUAAAAUCCUUUCGAACUUAAAAUAACCAAAUCUCUUUUUGGAUUACGUUUAAAAAGGGGUGUGACAUGCAUGCCCAUCUUUACACUGUAGUAUAUAUCACCCUAAAUUCUUCAAUCAUUCCAGCAAGGAGUCAACGUCAAGCAUACAAUUCUCAUCAAAAUCUCCAUCAUCAAGCAUUUGAAGCAAGGAGUCAGGGUUAUAACUCUCAUCAUCAAAUUCCCAUUGUUCAUAAACGAAUGUACUUGCUUCAUAGUUAUUAAUCUCGUUUACAACCAUUAAUUGAUUGUCGUCGUUGUUGCUAAUUACUUGAUGACUUUAAUCAAUACUUCCUAAUAGAUAAUCAAUUAAUUCAUCAACUUCUUCCUCCAUCACCUCAUCAGUAACCCCCUUAUUCUUUUUCUCAUCUUUUUUCUUCUCUUUGAUUUUGCAAAUAACGAUUAAUCAUUGUAUUUGCUUUUCUUAUAGUACUCAUCCGGCAAAAAGUAUUCUUUCAUGAGCCACUUAUCAUUAUUUUCAUUUUUUUCUUCAUGAAGAUCACUUUGAUACUUUUAAACUUCUCUUAUAUCCCAUUGUAAUAUUCUUCUUUGAUCCAUCUUUAAUUGGAUUGCCACUUGUUUGGCCUCUCCAAGUCCCUUUCCCAACUGUUCUUUUGAAUUUUUUUGUUGAAUUCUUAAAUCUCUUCAAUCGCGAAAGGAAGUAGCAUGUUUUCUCCUCCGAACCCGCCAUUAUCUCCCAUGGCUCGGAAUAAAAUCCCUGGGUGGAGAAAUUCCGUGGAGCACAAAACUGUUGAGAUAGUUUAUCAACUCUUUAUCAGUGGGAUGGAAUCGAAAACCUAGCUUUAAUUUGAAUGAAGGCAUUCUAUAUAUAUGUAUUUGUUUUGUUGCGUAUGAGUAAAAACGAGAUAAUGGAAUUUGGUUGAAGCUACUGCUUGUGAAGAGGUUUAUAUAAUGGGUUAACAAACCAUAAUUUGUCUAAUUUUAGGAUAAUACAUGAUUAGGUGCGUGCAAAAUAAAUUAACGCUAAGUAGAAGUUGAAUUAGGGCUUCCUUGAAGAAAAACUUUUCGUUUUAUAUUAUUUCUAAAAACGAAACUCCAUUAUUUCCAUUUUUUUUGAUCUAUUCUUCACUAAAAUGUUGUGUCGACUACAUAUAUUAUAUUGUAUUAACAUAAUAAAUACUUUAACUCUUUUAGAGUAUUUUAAUUUUUUAUAGUAGGUAUUUGCUAAUUUUUGUGACCACCCGUCUAUAUAAUUGUGAAGUGUUAUCAAUAUUUGACGUGAUUUGGUUCUGUAAAUAUUUUUACGUUGCUUGUGCAAGGAACUAAAGUCUUCACUUAAUAGGAAGGGGGAAAGAAAACGGAAGCAUUUAAUAAAAUGAAAUUGAAACAUAUAUCCAUUUCGUUUAUGUUUGGUGAAGAUCUUCAUGUAUUAUAAUAUUAGUGUUAUAAAAUAAAAUAACGAAGUAAAGAAAUUAAACAACGGAUAGUAAGCCUUUUAUUAUCUGUUGAUCUUGGUACAAAAUGAAAGUAAAUGGAUACCUUAUAUAGGCAUUUCUGCCAACAUUUCCACCAAUGGAAAUUGUUGGUUUGUACCUUGAAAGUCUUCACAAGAAAAUGAAGACCAUGUUGACAAAGGGGGACAUCCACACUAUCAUUUCUUAACACUCCCUGGGAUGUCUAAUACAAAAGAAACUCUAAUAAUUCAUAUCUUGUAAUAUACAUUUUAUUUUUUAAUUGCCUCAUUAAAAACCUUAUCAAGAAAAAUUCAAUGGGAUAAAAUCUUGAUUAAGGAAAAAAGAGUGUAGUAUGUAUUAACUCCCCCUGAUUAAAGCAUCACUUAGCAUCUCAGAGAUGUCGCAUUCCAAUCUUGUAUAUCAUUUUCUCCAAUGUUCAAAACCUUUUUUGUAUAAAUAGAUUGAUGGACAAAGAUACCGUUUGUCAAAUGCUCAAUUUGAAAACCAAGACAUAAUCUUAUCCUUCCAAGAUCUUUCAUCUCAAAUUCCUUCUUUAAAUAAUCAAUUGCCUUUUGAAGCUCUAUUGAAUUUCCAAUAAGAUUUAGGUCAUCAACUUAAAUGACAAGCACAACAAACUCCGAUGUUGUUUUCUUUAUAAAACACAUGGGCAAAUUUCAUUAUUUAUAUAACCUUCUUUAGAUAAAUACUUAUUAAGGUGGUUAUACCAUCUGCAUCCAGAUUGCUUGAAACCAUAUAAUGAUCUCUGCAAUUUAAUUGAAUACAUUUCUCAAGAUGCCUCGUGCAUUUUAUAUCCUUCAGGAAUGUAAGACCCCGUAAAAUUCUAAGUCAAAAUUUCAUCCCUUAAAGCUCCUUAAGGGAUCCAAUACUUAGAAAAUUUUAGCUAAGUGUUCAACACUUAGUCUCAUUUUAAGCCUUCGAACUUCAGGAAUUUAUUUCACGACCUUCCCGACCUUCAUUUUUUAUUUUCAAGUUGUGUUGCGAUGGGGCAAGGUAAGAGUACAUCUCGGGUGAGUUUCAGGAUUUUUGAAAUAGCAUAAGGGAACGUUUGGUAUGCCAAACCAGUAGCUAAAGGCGCUGGUGAGGCGCCGCCCAGGCUGGACCACUGGUCUAAGCAAGGCGUCGCUUUGGUUCUCCCAUGGUCCAACCUGGGCGCCGCCUUGGGUAUAGCCCUGGUCCAAUUUUUUCUGCAUUACACCUCAGUAUUUUGAAGGGCAAAUGGGUCAUUUUCUACCAAUAUAUAUAUCCAUAAACACGAAAUUCAGCCAUAAUUAAGCAACAUAUACUUGAUUUCUCUCAAAAACUCUCAAGAACAAGCUAGGGUUUUCAAUUGGGGAUUUAAUUUCAAGAAAAUUCCACCAUCAAUCUUCGUAGAACCACGUAGUAAGGUAUAUUUAGUGUUGAUACAUGGAUUACUUUCAUCCAUAAAGUUCAAGAACCCUAUUUCAAAUUAUAAAGCAUGAUAUUUAUGAUGUGUGUUGAUUGUAAUCAUGUUAAUGUUGUUAUAUGAUUUCCAGUUGGAAUCUUUAUGUGAUUUUCAUGAAACUAUGUUAGCAAUAGAGUUGAAAUCCAUGAAUUGUUGUUAUGAUGUGUUAAUUGAUGAUUAUACCUAUGCCCGCAUGUAAGGUGUUUGAUAAAAUGCCUAAUAGGAUAGAAAUUAUGCAUUAUAGCUAAAUUAUGACCCAAAUGAUAAAUGCAUGCUUUACCCUUAUGCUCAAAUGAAUCUCAUGUUAUUAUUGUGCAUCGUAAAUGUUUGUUGGAAUACCCAUGAUAUUAGAAUAUGAAACCAUAGUAUGUCUAUAUGCAUCCCAAUUCAUGUACAAGAUUAUGACAACCAAGUGCUUCAUGAAUUUCCCCAAUUAGUGUAUUAUGAAUUGUGGAUUAUAGUUAUGUAUUCAAGAAGUGUCAUGUCUUGUCUAUUUCAUGCUAUCGAGUCCUAGGGGUACUUUUAUUUGACAAUUAGUGGCGGAUCUACAUAGGGUCCAAGGGGUUCAUUCGAACCCACUUUGUCGGAAAAUUAUACUAUUUUUACAUGGUAAACUUUUUUUUUAUGUAUAAAUUGUAGAGGUUGAACCCCCUUCGACUAGUCCGUAUAUGUACUACUGAACCCCUUCACUGAAAAUCCUGGAUUCGCCCCUGCCGAUAAUUUAACUAUGUGCCUAGAGCCAGUGCCAUGUUUUCACGAUACUCUCAGUCAAGCUAUGAUCAUUAGAAUUCAGUCAGUCUCAUGACUCAGGAAAACUCAAAAAUCUCAUGAACUCAGUUAGACAAUAGAAUUCGAUAAUAUUUCAUUAGUCAACGAAAUACAGUGAACUCAGUCUAGUAUAGUAAGCAUAUGCAGUAAGUGUCUAUUCUUAUGGGAGUAGGAUUCAUCACCGAGUGAGCCCAAAGAUGGGAAUUCACUUAUUAGUAGAGGGUGUGAUUCCUAGAAGCAAUCCUUGCAUUCCAGAACUACGUGACCAAAGUAGGUUGAGAUAUAAAACCUGCUAGAUAAAGGUAGAUGAGGUGGCUUAACCUGUUAGAUAAGGGUUCCCAAUGUUCUCGUUAGAGUACCUGUUAGAUAAGGGUCACUCACAGCUUGUUCUUACUGGUGGUGCGGUAUUGACACCCUUCUAAUUGGGGUUACAGAUUGGACCCCAACUCAGCUAUAAUAGCUUACUUAGGGGCAUGUCGAUUAGAUGACUACCUCUCACAGUCUCAGUCUCAAUAAAAAAUCUCAAAUAGGUCUUCAAAUUUUAGGACUAUCAGAUACAGUCAACUCAGUUCAGUACGAAACUCAGCUAAUUCUAUCAGAAUCAGGACUGUCAGAUACAGUCACUCAUGUUAUCAGUAUAUCAGUUAUCAGAACCCAAUAUCAGAUAUAUUAGUUAUCAAUAAACUCAUGUAUCAGUAUUCAGAUUCAGUAAUCAUGUUAUCACGAUCUCCGUUUAAGUUACGUAUUCAUGCAUGUAUUCUCACGUUCAUACUAUCCAGUUAGUUAGUAUUAUUCAUGUAUAUGAACCCCAUGCAUUCAGCUACCUCACUUGCAUACCAGUACAUUCUCUCGUACUGACGCAUACUUUUCUCUUGCGCUAUGACGUCGUAUACCAUAGGUUCAGAAGCAUAAGAUCCAGAGCGUCAGUAGCAUUCUAGAUUUUAGCAGCCAAACUUAGCAGUGAGUCCUCAUCCUUCGAGGACAAUUAUGUUAUUAUUUAUUUUAGUAUUUCAUUUUAGCUUGCAGUAGAUGGAGUUAGUUGGGGACGUGUUCCAUCAACUCCUUAUUCAGACAGUUUAGAGGCUUUCAGACUACUACAGUAUUUUUAGACUAGAUGUUUUCAGGCAUUAUUUCUAUUUUGGUAUUAUGAUACCACAUUAUUCAGGUAUUGUUUAUAAAAUUUUUUUUCAGAUUUGAACCUUAUGGCCUUUCAGCCUAUUAUUCUGCAUUUCUUUUAUAGUAUAUUAUGCAGUGUUCAAGUAUAAAUAGCAGUCAUGGAUUAGUUAGUGGUCCUUCAGGAUUGUUAGCAUCGUGUAGUAUUCUGGAUAUCAGAUUCGGGGCGUUACAAGGAAUUUCAUGUAUAUCUCAUUAUCAAGUGAUCCAUAAAGAUAGGUUGUAACCACAUAUAUCAAAUGCAUUUCAAGCCUCUCAUGAACAGUGAAGUUAAUGAGAUAACGCAAUGUUAUUCCAUCUAUAACUGGUGAGUAUGUCUCUUCAUAAUCGACACCAGCCUUUGUGAAAAUCCUUGUGCAACAAGGCGUGCUUUAUAUCUUUGUAUUUCAUUUUUCUUAUUUCUUUUACGCACAAAGAAUCAUUUAUAGCCAAUAGGUUUAAUACCAUUUGGUAUUUGAACAAUGGGUCCAAAAACUUCACGCUUGACAAGUGAAUUCAACUCAGAUUGAAUUAUUUCUUGCCAUUUUGGCCAGUCAUUUCUUUGUCGACAUUCUGUGACAGUCUGAGGUUCGAGAUCCUCGAUAUCUUGCAUGAUUUUUCUUGCAAUAUUAUAUGAAAAGACAUAGUCCACCACUAUUUUCGAUCGAUUCAAAUUAGUUUCACCAUCACUUGUAUUUAUGGAUAAUUCGUCAUUUUCUUGAGGUUCGAGCUCAUUGAUCCUUUCAGGGGUAUCAAAAUUGUUCAAGUCUUGAACAUCCAUAUGAGAUUCUUUCGUAGUGUCAUCUUGACCAUUUAUUUUUCUGUUUCUAGAAUUUUGAUACUUAGAACCCAAUGGUCUACCACGCUUCAGGCGUGCUUUGGACUCAUUAGCCAUGACACUAGUAGAUGGUCCUACAAGGAGCUCAAUUCGUAUUGGGACAUUCACUACAAGAAUGUAUGAUUUUGUAAUCCUUUUUAAAUCUAUAAAUAUGUCUGAUAUUUUAUUUGUAAUUUUCUGCAAAUGAAUAAUCUUUUGUACUUCUUGCUCACAAAUAGAAGCACGUGGAUCAAGAUGAGACAGUGAUAAUUUUUCACAAAAUUUCUCUUUUGAUUUCAUUAUUUUCACCCCCUAAUUUUAGGAAAAUAGUCUCAUCAAACGGAUAAUCUAAUAAUCAAGCAGUAAACAUAUCUCCAUUCAAUGGUUCAAGGUAGCAAAUAAUAAUGGGUGAUUUAAACCCAACAUAUAUUCCUAACCUUCUUUGGGGGCCCAUCUUAGUGCGUUGUGGUAGUGCCACAGGCACAUACACAACACAUCCAAAAAUUCUCAAAUGAGAUAUAUUAGUCUUUUGACCUAAAACUAGUUGUAACAGAGAAAAUUUAUGAUAAUUUAUCAGUCUAAGAUGAACAAGUAUUCCAGCAUGCAAAAUAGCAUGACCCCAAACAAAGGUGGGCAACUUAGUUUUUAUAAGCAAUGGUCUUGCUAUCAAUUGCAAAUGUUUAAUUAAUGAAUUGGCAAGGCCAUUUUGAGUGUGAACAUGAGCUACAAGAUGUUCAACUUUUAUCCCAAUUGAUAAGAAAUAAUCAUUAAAUGCUUGGGAUAAAAAUUCUGCAGCAUUAUAAAAGAGAAUGGACUUGAUCUGAUUAUUGAAAAACUGUGCCCACAAUCGUAUUAUUUAUGCCAAUAAUUUUGCAAAUGCCAAGUUGCGAGAUGACAAUAGGCACACAUGGGACCAUUUAGAAGAAACAUCUAUUAAGACUAUAAAAUAUCGAAAUGAUCCACUAGGUGGGUGAAUAGGUCUACAAAUAUCCCCUUGUAUACGUUCUAAGAAUGAAGGGGAUUCAAUCCCAACCUUAGUUGGUGAUGACCUUAUAAUUAACUAGCCUUGAUAAUAGGCAGUACAAGAAAAUUCAUUAUUUAAAAGAACCUUCAUGUUCUUUAAUGGAUGCCCAUUAGAAUUUUCUAUAAUUCGUUUCAUCAUUAUAGAUCCAGGAUGUCCCAAUCGAUCGUGCCAAAGUUCAAAAAUAUUGGAAUCAAUAAAAUUUUGAUUUACUAUAGAAUGUGCCUCAAUCGCACUAAUCUUUAUCCAAUACAAGUCAGGAGAUAAAGCAGGGAACUUUUCUAUAAAACAUGUCUGCCCAGAGAUAUUCUUGGUAAUACCAAGAUAUUAUAUCUCUGGGUAAUACCAAGAUAUUCAUGAUUCAACUCAUCCACUGUCUUGAUAUGAUAGCCAUUUUUACGGAUAUCUUUAAAACUCAGCAAGUUUCUCUGGAAUUUAGGAGAAAACAUAGCAUUAUUUAUGAAGAAUUUAGCUCCUUUAGGCAAAAUUAUAAUGUCUUUUUCAAAGUCUUCAAUUAAAUUAGUACUAGUAGAAAACGUAGUAAUAUUUAUUUUGCCCAUAUUUAAAUGAGAAAAAUAUUUCUCAUUUUUAAAUAUUUGUGUGUUGUCCUAGAAUCAAUUAAACAAAUAUCUUCAUAAUUGCAUAACUUGCUUUGUAAAUUGUCCAUAUCUUCAAAUAAAAUGACAUACACAAAAUAACAACAACAACAACAAACGCAGUGUAUUCCCACAUAGUGAGGUCUGGGGAGGGUAAGAUGUGCGCAGUCCAUACCACUACUCCCGAGGAAGCAAGACUAUUUUUGAUAGACCCCCGGGUCAAGACAAAGAAUAGUAGUCAAAGUCAUACCAGAAAACCUGGAACAAGACAAAACAUAGAGACGCCAUAUACAAGAAAGAGUAAACAAAGACUAGCAAGCAAUCGUAAUACUACAAGCAAACAGGAAUCAUAAUAAAAAUACUACACCCACCAAGUAAUGCCCUACCCUACCUAUCCAAAAUGGCACUAGUCUUCCAUCCUAAUACGCGUCCUCCAGAUCUUCCUAUCUAGGGUUAUGUCCUUAGUAAGCCAUAACCACUUCAUGUCCCACCUAAUCACCUCUCUCUAGUACUUCUUCGGCCUACUCCUACCCCAUCUGAAACCAUCCAAAGAAACUCACACCUACGAACCGGUGCCUGCGUGCCCCUCCUCAUCACGUGUCUGAACCAUCUCAAAUGAACCCCCCACAUCUUGUCAUCUACUGAAGCCACUCCAACCUUUUCUCGGAUAUUUUCAUUCCGAACUCUAUCACCCCUAGUAAGCCCACAUAUCCAACGCAACAUCCGUAUUUUCUCAACCUUCAAUUUCUGAAUGUGAAAGUUCUUGACAGGUCAACACUCUGGUCCAUACAACAUGGUGAGUGGACUACACCCUAUAAAAUUUGCCUUUAAUCUUGGGCGGCACCUUCUUGUCAGACAACACCCUUGAUGCGAGCUUCCACUUUAUCCAUCCCACCCCGAUACGGUGAGAGAUAUCCUCGUCAAUCUCAUCAUUCCCCUGAAUCAUGGACCCAAGAUACUUAAAACUAUCCCUCUUACACACCACCUGAGACUCCAGCCUUACUACUACGUCAUCCCCCUCCCUCGAGCCAUCAAACUUAUAUUUCAAAUACUCGGUCUUGCUCCUACUUAACUUGAACCCUUUAGACUCAAGGGUCUCUCUCCACAGUUCUAAUUUAUCAUUCCCCCCCCCCCCCCGAGUCUCAUCAAUCAAAACUACAUCAUCUGCAAAAAUCAUACACUAGGGCACCUCGCCUUGAAUACGCCGCGUCAACACAUCCAUCACCAAAGCAAACAAAAAUGGACUAAGAGUAGAUCCCUGAUGUAACCCUGUCAGGACAGGGAAAUGUUCAGAAUCACCACCUACCAUCCUCACCUGGGUCUUAGCUCCAUCAUACAUGUCCUUGAUUUCUCUAAUAUACACCACCGGGACCCCACUCACCUCUAGGCAUCUCCAAAGAACUUCCCUAGGGACUUUGUCGUAUGCCUUCUCCAAGUCGAUAAACACCACGUACAGAUCCUUCUUUCUUUCCCUGUACUGUUCCACUAGUCUCUGAACUAGGUGAAUUGCCUCUGUCGUCGAGCGCCCGGACAUACACAAAAUAAAUAUAUAUUAAAUAUUAAUAAUGAAUAAACUACAAAGUCAACACUAAAUAGUAUAAUAAAUUUGAGCAAUCAAAUGAGUGAAGUUCACUUUCAUGGUAAGUAUUAAUAGAAAGUCACAAGUACUAAAAUUUCUUUUUCACGCACUUGUUGAGAAAACGAUAUCAAUAAUAAUAGUUAGUCCAUGUUAAAAAAAGCUUAUAAGUAAUUUGAUCAAAUGCUUCUCUAUAGUCAUAACCCGGUGAACCAUAUUUUAUGAUAUCCAAAAAGAUGCAAGAAUUAAGACUAUAAUUUAAUGAGCAGUUUUUUUCGUAAGCAGACAGUACAUUACAAUAUUAAAUGUGAUAGGAACAAACCGAAAAUAAAUUACUAACAAACUUACGAUAAUAUGACUAAAAUAAAAAAACUAAUAAAACAGAACAACUACUUUAACAUUUAUUCAUUAUACUACCAUUACUAACAAAUAUUAAAAGUUGUUCAAUCUUCCAUAGCCACAGAACCAUCACCAAUCAGGUGCUCUAUCUUUCCUUAAGAUGCUCGAAGAAAUCUGCUACAUCUAAGUGAGCAACGUUAACAUGAUUUUUAGAGACUAAUUAGCUUCAGGGUUUUUCUCUUUUUCUUUAGUGAUGCUUGAUAAAGCUCAACCAACUGUUUGGGAGUACGACAGUCACAUGCAUAGUGUCCUCUUGCACCACAUUGAAAACAAACACAUGUUUUACCUGCUUCACGUUUGUCACUCUUUCUUUGUUUAUUUUGACAGAACCAUUUAUUUGAUGAGUGCCUAACACCAGGAACAUGAUUUUUUUUUACCAUAGUCAUGUCCACGUCCACGUCCACGACCAGAUAUAUGACCCUUUCCACUCCUAGCAUGGUGGGGGUUCACCUCAUUCACUUCAGGAAAUGGUGUAGAUCCAGUAGGUCGAAGCUCGUGAUUUUUCAUUAACAAAUCAUUAUUUUGCUUAGCCACAAGAAAGUGAGAACUUAGUUCAGAAUAUUUCUUGAAAUCUUUCUCUCAAUGUUGCUGCUGCAAGAGCACAUUCGAGGCAUGAAAGGUGGAGAGUAUUUUUUUCCAUCAUAUCAACAUCAUUAAUAGGCUCUCCACAUAAUUUCAACUGAGAAAAAAUUCUGAACAUAGCAGAAUUAUACUCAUGAACAGACUUAUAGUCUUGAAAUCUCAGAUGCAUCCAAUCAUAUCGUGCUUUUGGAUGUAUGACCAUUUUUAGGUGGUCAUACCUUUCUUUUAGGUUAUUCCACAAAACAAGUGAAUCCUUAACAAUAAGAUAUUCAAUUUUUAAAAUUUCGUCAAUAUGUUGAUGCAAAAAUAUCAUGGCCUUAGCACGAUCUUGAUUUGAUGCUUUUUUGUCUUUUUUAAUGGUAUCUCCAAGACCCAUUGCAUCUAUAUGGAUUUCGGUAUCCAAUACCCAUGAAAGAUAGUUCUUGCUCGAGCUUUGAAGGGCAACAAAUUCAAGUUUCGUAAGAUUAGACAUAUUAAAAGAAAGAGAAAAAUAAUACAUUAGCCUUCAGAUUUUAAAAUAGUGAAGUCUCGUGAUGAUAACGUGUUAUAAAAUAAAAUAACGGAGUAAAGAAAUUAAAAAACGGAUAGUAAGCCUUUUGUUAUCUGUUGAUCUUGGUACAAAAUGAAAGUAAAAGGAUGCCUUAUAUAGGCAAUUCUGCCAACAUUUCCACCAAUGGAAAUUGUUGGUUUGUACCUUGAAAGUCUUCACAAGAAAAUGAAGACCAUGUUGACAAAGGGGGAACAUCCACGCUACCAUAGCUCAACAAAUAGCACAAAAUCUUAAACUAAUUAAAAUAUUUAAAAUUAAUGGUCUUUUUCUUUUUUCUAUAAAGAUCUAUUUGUGACUAUGUAGUCAAUAUUACAACAUCAUUACAUCAAUCCCCUAAUUUUAUACUCCCAAUUUAUCAAUUUAUGUGAAACUUCUUUCCGUUUUAGUUAGUUUAAAAAUAAUAUAUAUUUUUAUAUUUAGUAGCAUCAAUUUUAUUUUAAAAUUUUUCUUUUAUUCUUAAUGAAAUAAUAUAUAUUCAAACAAUAUUUAUGGCUUGCUUUAUACUAAAAAUGUAAAAAAAUAAAAAAUAAUUUUUAUACUUCAUGUCCAGUUAAACAUCUUCUCACAUAAAUUUAACGGGAAAGGACAGAAACAUCACUUCAAAUUAAACUAUUUCCAUGAAAAUGACCAUGAAAUUUAAAUUUCACUUUCUAGCCAUUUCAAUUUAUUGGCUUUAUCUAUACCAUUUCUACAUAACUUCUAUACAGAUUCUUUACAUAUCUUAUACAUAUAAAUAUUCUAUAUGAAAAUUAUACAGUUUUGAUACAUAAUUUAUACAAUAACUAUACAUUUUUUUUUUACACAUUUUAUACAACAAUUAUAUAAUUUUCAUACACUUUCUAUAUAAUUUUUUUAUAUAUAUAUUUUAUACAUAUUUGAUAGAACUAUAUAAUUUCUAUACGUAUAGAUACAAAUUCUAUUUAACAAUUAUAUCAUUUUUAUAUAAUUUAAUUAUUAUUUCUAAAUAAUUAUAAAAAAUAAAAUAUUUGAUAAGUUAAAAAAUUUAUAACAAAAAAAAUUGAAAUACUUUUAAAAGGGAUGAAUUGUCCAAGUUGAUACUAUAUUAGGAUUGUAUAUAGGCUGUAUCAGUAUUGUAUAUGGGCUACAUAGGCCAAAACGAUCCAAAUUAGGAAAUGACUAUAAAGCGAAAAUAGUAUAUCCUACUGGUCACUUUUUGAAAAGUUUACAAACUUGCCCUAUUUAUUUUAAAAAGUGCUAUAGUGUCCUAUUCCCUAAAUGUAAGUAACAAGAGAAAAAAGAACUUUUACUUACAAAUAGAAACAUGCAAAACUUUUCUCAAAAAUUCAAAAUAAUAUAGAAUAUAGAAUGCAUGGCAGUUCGUAUAAUCCUGGUUGAGAGACCAUAUUAUGUGAUCAUGGUAUUCGUUGAAUUUCCUUUGUCAUUAAAAUUAAGUGUGCGUGUGUAUAUUUUCUAUAGAUUAAAGUAGUAUAUAUUGAAUGUAUAUGUGUAUAUGUUUUCUAAAGCAGUAUAAUGUAGAUAUGUUGUAUGUAUAAUGCUUCAACUGAUACUUUAAGUAGUAUAUAUUGUAUAUAUAUGUGUAUAUAUUUUCUAUAGACUAAAGUAGUAUAUAUUGAAUGUAUACAUGCAUAUAUGUUUUCUAAAGUAGUAUAGUAUGUAAUGUAUAUAUCUUGUAUGUAUAUUGUUUUAAGUAGUAUUUAUUGCACGUAUAAAUUUUGUAUGUAUAUUAUUUCAUGUCGUAUAUAUUUUAGGUAGAUAUGUUGUAUGUAUAUUGUUUCAAGUAGUAUAUAUUGAAUGUAUAUUGUUUCAAGUAGUAUAUAACUAGAUACUGUAUGUAUAUUUGUGUGCAUGUUUUGUAAAGUAACACAAUGUGUAAUGUAUAUAUGUUGUAUAUAUAUUGUUUCAAAUAGUACUAUAAGUAGUUUAUACCAAAUGAAUAUUAUUUUAAGUAGUAUUUCAAUAAGUAUAUAUUGUAUGUAUAUUUAUGUGUAUGUUUUCUAAUGUAGUAUAAUAUAUAUAAUGUAUAUAUGUUUUCAAGUUGUAAUAUAUAUUGAGUGUAUAUUGUUUCUAGAAGUAUUUCAAGUAAUUGUAUGUAUAUUUGUAUGUAUUUUUCUAAUGUAUUAUGAUAUAUAACGUAUAUAAGUUGUAUGUAUAUUAUUUCACGUAGUAUUUAAAUUGGUAUAUGUUGAAUGUACUUAUGAGUUUAUGUUUUUUAAAGUAGAAAUUCAAUGUAAUACAAGCAUGUUUACUAAAAUAUUAUAAUAUAUAAUGUACAUAUGUUAUACGUUUAUUGUUUAAUGUAUCGUCACGACCCGAGCCGCGGCCAUAACCGCGACGGGCAUCCCGAACCAUGAAGGUCCGAGAGACCCCCUAGCAUACUAUCAUAAGUAUAAUCCAUACGUAAAUCAAAGUGCAGAAGAUAUAAUAAUAUUCGAUGAAAAACUUAUAAUCCAAAAUGAGUCAACGAAAUUAUGACAAUACACUCAAAUUUUCGUUCUACACCAGUCUAUGAAGCCUCUAGUCUGACUGAACCGGGACAAAGUCCCCUGACCGUACCAUAAGACUGACUGAGAUUACGUAUACAUAAAAUGUCUUCUAGUUUAAGUGAGGCUCUCCAAAUUCUUGAAGUCUGGGAACAAUCUACUUCUGAGCUAGAUCCCAAAAUUGAGCCUCUGAACCUAUCGAUAGGGGGUCAAUACUCGAAAGUACUAGUAUGUAGAACUAGCCAAAAAUAACAUUUACUUCGUAUAACAAAAUUGAGAGCCUUUUUGGAAACAAUAAUGCAAAUAUAAAAACACAUGGGCAUAAUUGAAAAGCUUCAAGACAUUUUUGUAAAAGCAUGGACUCAACUCUUUGUUUUACUUUUAAGCUAGAUGGUACACCUUGCAUUUUUUAUUAUCCCACGGGCUAUAUGGAAUCCAUCCUUGACUCAGCGGCCAAUACUCCAAUCCAUGUUUUCCUCCAGGAUUGGAGUACAUAACAAAAACUAAGUAUGCAUCCUUGCCUGACAUACCAUGUCACAAGAAAAGAAUAUGCCUCCUCGCAUGACAUACCUUUUCAUCAAAAGAAAACCCACAUUGGAAAAAUACAAUUUUGGGCUGUGAGUUAUCUAAACUCGUGCCUUAUUCGGGUAACCAUCUAACUCUCUUUAAGUCCAAUUUUAGUCCUUUAACACCAUGCUUCAUGUUUAUAAAAAAAAAAGGGAUUCACUUCUGAGUUCUAUUAAGGGCACAUCAUAAUAGGUAUCUUCAUACCUAGACUUGCAAGCCAUUCAUAUCAUAUCAUAUCACAUCCAUAGCUCUUUUUAUUCAAAGCACAUUAAUGACCUCCAAAAAGGAUUUAUUAAGUCACAUGAGAGUUCUUAUUUCAAAUGCAUAUGAAACCUAUGUAAAGACAUCAUAUUUUCAAGAUUUCAACAUAAGGUGACCAACUCUUUCAUAAAACACAUACAAUUCUUUCAUUUAACACGAAGAGCGCGCGCGCACACACACACACACAUAACAAGAGAACACCCUCUAAUCAAAUCAUGACCAACAUUAAGUCCAAAAUUGAUGAUGAAAUACUUGACUUAUUCUUUAGGACAUGCAAUUGAACAACCCAUAUCUUAUUAAAUCGAUCAAAUUUCAUGUUGAGAGGGAAAUUUCAUGAAUCUUUCUCUUAUAUUAAUUCUCAAAAACAUAUAACAUAUAAACACAUGAAUAUAAUUCAAAUCUAUGAAAAACUUCAUGAUGAUCUCAUCAAAAUGGGUUCAUGAUGCAUGUUCUUUAAAGUGUUUUAAAAACCCUUCUUAUAUACAUAAUUUCAUGCAUUUAAAACUUGUUAAAAAUUAUAAACUACUCCCAUGAGGUUAAGGAUAGUCCCACAUACCUUUUGACGGAUAAAAAUCAAAGAGAACGUAGAGAGAUUUGCUCUUGGAGAUCAAAAUCUUCAAACCCUAGGUGGCUUCUCAGCUCUUGAUGAAGGAAAGAUUAUUUGGGGAUUUGAGAAGUGAAAUAAUGUGUUUAAGGAUCUAAAUUUCGUCCAUAUAUGAUUAGGAACGGUUAUAGGAUCAUAAAAGACAUUAUUGCCCUUUAAAUAAUUCAAAACGGAGCACUUUUUGAUGCUCGAGAAAGGUUUGGCGGCAUAUGGACAAAGCCAAACUCAGGGUUGGCGGCGAACAAGAAAAGCCAACCUAUUCCAGUGGUAUUUGGUGAUUCCCUCGUGGCGCAGUCCCAAUGCGGAUCCUGGAUAAGGUCCCAUUCAAACACUCAUAACUGUUGACUGUGAAAUCGGAUUGACAAACGAUUGGUGGAUUUGGAAAGAAGACUCAAACGACUUUAAUUUGAUAUUUUAUGGGCCACAUAACUCCUCAUAUUCUAGGAUUAAUAGUAGUUGGACGUUGAACUAAGAAAAAUCCUUGAUUAAAAACUCAACUGGUAAGGAAGUAUUCAACUUAACUUUGAUCUAGGAGACUUUUAUGACGUAUACUCAUCUUCAAAGAUGUUCUCACACUAAAUCAUUGUUAUUCACACUUAUUCACAAGUAGGAACCAUUAGAUUUGGGUCUAUAUACAUCGGAAAGACAAUUUAAAUUUAGCCCGAAAAAAUGGGGUGUUACAAUAUCUCCCCCUUGAAAUCAUUCUUCCUCGAAUGAUGGAUAGGAACUUGUUGAAGCUCUAAAAGUAUGGAAUAAAGAACGUAAUAUUUCAUUGGUCAUUUUUUUCUCAACAAAAUAUGCAAAGUCAUCAAAAUAGCUUUAUGAUAACCCCUAGUAAAUCGUGUAAGCACGAAACGUGAGAUAAUAAGAAUUGGCAUAAAGACGACCUUGCACAUGAGUUCUAGGGAUCAUGGUCAUAACAACAUAAGGCUUGAGUUUAUUUGGUGAUCAUAUUUCUCGAUUUACAUUGAUACUCAACAUGGAAUAAGGUUUCGGAGGAGAUAGGAAUAGAAGUAUUCUCUAUCUUACAAGAUACAACAAAUAGACCUUAAACUUAGAGACACUACUCAUCUAUGCCCCAAACAAUAAAUAACAUACUUCAUCAUUUCCAACUUAUACUUCUCCUAUAACAUAACUAACCACAAUAUUUUGAGUCCCACCAUAUAGUACUUACAUGUUGAAGCCCAACCCGAAGUUAAAAGGUGCUAACUUAAGCUAUGGGACCAUGUACUCGAUAUUCCAUUAAGAAUAUCACCUCACCUCAUCACUAUAAUCCAACAACCUCAGGUCUUAAUUCAAGGAGUAUUAACCAUAUAGCACAUCGAUUUAUGUUUUCAACAAUCAUAACAUUCAAGUCUAUCAUUACUACACCCACUUCAUGGAUCUCCCCACUAAGACCAGCAAAUUCAAUCACUCUCGCAAAGAUUUUUACCACAUAUCUUCUUCCUAACUAUUUCACAUAACGAAAGUUCAUAUCUUUCUUUCCCCCUUCACUUAGAACCUUAGCUCAAGGUAGUCACACCAAAAUUUAAAACAAUACGAAAUAUCCACUCUCUUAUCUAAAACAUUACUACGCUUCCAUAACCACUAACAUAUUAACAUUAGGAGGUUCAUUGAGGGACUAGAGCACAAGCAUAAAGAAUGGAAGUGUCGCAUCCUAUUUUUCUCACGAAAAGAGGGAUUCGACGUGACCACUCUUUUUGGGAUUGUUUUGAGAAAGUUGUGAAGAGUCACUACCUAACGAAUUAAGGUGCGUUAAGGCACCGAUCUAGGCUAACUACAAACCUAUUUUUUUUAUUUUGUCUUAGUUCACCAGAAAUUUGGGUAAGAGUUUAAAUUACCCUAAAAGGAAGGUGUUAGACACCUUUCGAGGUCCACAAAGGUGGUUUUUGGCCGAAUUCGUAUUUUACGUGGGGAUUCUAUAUGAUCAAAUAAAGGUCUUUUAUUUCUAACUUAAUUUAAGUGAUAAAGUAAUGAAUAAACAAACACAUGUUAUUUUAUCAUUUCUAAUUAUUAAUUAUCUAAGUAAUACAAGUCAAUAAAACGUGUGAAUAAGACAAGUGAGGAGAGAGAAGUGACAUAAUUUGUGACAAAAAGAGACUGCUUGCUAAACUAACUACCCCAAAUAAGGAAGCGUGUAAAAUAAACAUAAAAAUAAAGAACAAAUUCAAAAAUCAACCAAAGAAAUUUUUUGGUUUUAUUCGGAUCAGAACUCCAACUUGUUUAAUCCUUAUCCGACCCAUUGUCCAAAUUCUUAAACAAGUAACAAUGUCAAGUUUCAUGUAAUGUCUAUGAAGAUCAUCACUUUCGAAUGACUAUCCGCCCCACCCCACCUAGGCUGGUUGUAAACCUAAAGGCGCACUAAAAAAGAUAAAACUAACGCCUCUAGAAAUACCUAUCAUCCCACCUAUCACCCAAGAGGCAUUGGGCUUUGCUAAUUUAGAUUUGUGAUCUAGACAAAUAAACCAAUGAUUUCUAGGACUCAAAUAGCGUAAAACAUAAAGGACGUCAAGUAGCAUGUAAUGUCUCAAGUUAGCCUCUUGGUUAAUUAAACAGUGAUUGUUUUUGUUUAGUUAAGCCUAUAGACAUGGUAUCUUGAUGUUACACAAGUAUUUAUUGAAAAGUACUGGUCAAAACAUUUAGAACAAUGUUGUAAAAGUUCAUUGAGAAUAAAAAGGCAUGUCAACGUUAAACAAACGUGCGAGAAUAAGAAUGUUAAUUUAUUAUAUAAAAGAUAGUUAAACAUGAUGUCUAAGUGGAAAGAAAUAAAUCAUCCUGUAAUAUGUGAAAGUAAAAAUUAUUUAACAUGGUAAAUAAUUAGUAAGCAAAUAUCAUUUUAGUAUUCCAAAAAAAUGUCCUUAUAUGGUCAAAAGGUAUUGAUCUGAAAGCAAAAGAUUUGAGAAAAAGUAAUAAAAAAACUGAAUGCUUAAUAUAAUCUUUUAAGUUGUAAUUAAAACAGAAACAUAGCUAGAAUUAGUUGAUUGCUGAAAAAAAGUAUAAGAUGUUAAAGAAUCAACAUGUUGAAAAUUUGUUUAAUUGUUGGAAUGUCUUUAAUGUUGGAAAUUGUGUUCCAAUUGUUGGCAAUUGAUUUUAAAGACUGAAAAAUUGAUUGUCAUUUGCUGAAAAUUGUUCUAGAGUGGUGAGAAAUACAACUUAACUGCUGAAAAUUGUUUUAGAAGACAUGAACAUAAUGUUUAGUUGCUGGAGGUUCAUUUUAACAUGCUAGCAAAUGAUGAUUCCCUUUUAAUUGUUGAAAAUAGAUGGGCGCAAGGGAGUUAUGAGAUGUCCAAAGAUUAUUUUGUAUUCACAUAUAACAACACUACAACAAUGGAAAAACGCUCACUUACGAAUAAGGAAGAAAACAUAUCUCAGAAACAAAAGAAAAAACUCAUAUGAACACAAUAAGUCAUAGAGAUGCAUAAAACGAAUAGAGGGCUUAUGACAUCAAGCAUUUUAAGUAAUCAUAAACAUACUCACAUAGAAUGAUAUAAAAGAAACUAAUACAUGGCUAGAGAAAACUAACUGGUUAACAACAUAAUAACAAAAGAAAUUAGAAUUUUCUAAAGUAGACAACAAUUGCAACAACAAACAAGAACCAAUAGUCUCUUAAAGUUGCACCAAAUAAAACUUAGCACUUUGUGUAGAAGAGUGUAGAAGUCAACGACGAUUCUUUCGUAUAGAAAGGAGGAGUGGAUGAUAAGAGGUGUCAUAGAAUGAGAAGGAGGCUCACUUUAUGUAACGCCCCAAUUUUGUACCUCGGAUGCUACACGGCUAACGACCUCAAAGGACCACCAGCUAACCCAUGACUUGUACUAGCUGUGAGAAUUGACUAAUAAUAUCACUGUAAUAAUAAUAUAACUAAAAUAAGUGUGGAAGUUAGGCUGUAAAUGCCAUAAGGUUCAUAAUUGAAAAACUGAAUACUGAAACAUCUAUCUGAAUACUCUAGUUUGAAAGUCUCUAACUGUCUAAAUAAGGAGUUGAUUGGACAAGACCCCAACUAACUCUAACUACUGAAAUACUGAAUUUACUGAAAUAACGAAAUAUAAGUAUAUCCUCGAUAGAUGAGGACUCUUUUUUGUAAUAUAAUACUGCUAACUGAAUCUGGCUAAGUAUGGUCAGGAGCCUGAGCGUCCAAACCUAUGAUAUAAGACAUUAUAGCAUAAGAGAAAGUAUGUGUCAGUACGUAGAAUGUACUGGUAUGCUAGGUGAGGUAAGGCUAAAUGCAAGGGCUCAUAUUCAUGAACAAUAACUGCCUGAGUAACUUGAACAUAACUGAAUGAGAGUACAUGGAUGAAUACAUAAACUAUAACUGAUGUCACGAUAACGCUGGAUAUUGAGUUCUGAGUACUGAUUAAAUGAUAUCUGAGUUGACUCAUACUGUAUUACUGAUAACUGAUUGACUAUUUCUAACAUUCCUGAUUCUGUAGAACUAAUCAGAUGUUCUAUACUGAGCUGGGUGGCUGUGUCUGACAGUCCUAAAUCUAUAGAACUGAACUGAGUUCUAUUACUGAGAUUGAAACUUAAACUGUGGGAGAUAAUCAUUUAACCGACAUGCCCCAAAUAAGAUAACUGAGUUGGAGUCCAAUCUGUAAUCCUAAUUGGAAGGGUGUCAGUACCGUGCCAUGGGUAAAGACAAUGGUUGUGGGGUCAGUCCUAGUUUAGCGGGCAACCCCUGAGAUCAGUUCUAAACUAGCAAGUGAUCCCUGAGUAGGUCAGUCCUAUCUAAUGGGUGACAUCUCAUAAUUUACGCUGGCUACGUAGUUCUAGAACUUAGGGAUUACUUCUAAGGACCCAAUCCUAUCUAACGGGUGUGGCCCCAUUCCUAGGUUCUCUCGGUGCUGAAUCUUACUCCCAACUGAAAGAUACUGAACUAAAAUUGAUCGUGUUAACUGUCUGAACUGAACUGAGUUUACUGAGUUCCAUUGACUGAUGGAAUACUACUGAGUUCUUUUACUGACUGAGUUUACUAAGUUCUGAACUGAAUACUGAACUAAGACUAUGACCGACUAUGGAUUACUACUGUUCGUGACACUACUGAGAUUGUUCUGUAACUACUAUAGCUUUAAGUAAACAGCUAAAUUUUCGGGUAUUAAAUACCCCCAGGACUCGAUAGCAUGAAAAGUAAAUCAUAGCAUAAACUUGAAAAGCAUAACCAUGUGCACUUGUUCAUAACUCAUUCAUAGCGACAAUUUAUCAAACACUUGCAGGGCAUAAGCUUCUACGUAUACAAACAUGUCAUGAUUUCAUCACUUUAUUCACAUGGACAUUAUAUCAAACACUUGGAGAGCACAACUUAAUGCACAUAAUCAUGGUUAGCAUAUAAGCAUGACAAUUAUAAUGCCCAAACUUGCAAAUUCAUGGAUUAAAACAUAGGGAAUACACAAUUCAAUUUAUAUGCUAUUCAAACUUUGUGGACUCUAAAAUUAAUCAUGGAUUGAAACUCAAUUAAUGAUAAGAACAUGAAUACAAUCCAAUCUCAAGCAUGUAAAUCAUGAAUCAUAAAUCUUGAAGUUCUAAAACGGAUUCUUGGACUCUAUGGGUGAAAGAGACCCAUAGAUGAACACCUAACAUACCUUAGUAUUCAAAUUCGGGAGGAUUGGUGGUGUGUCCUUGAAGUUUGAACUUGUAAUUUGAUGCCCUAGGAUUUUGUUCUUGAGCAACUUUGAGAAAGAAUGAAGGAUUUUGCCUUUACAGAGGCUUAAUCUCGUGUUUUGGGGGCUAAUAUAAGGUGGAAAAAAGACUCAUUUACCUCUUUGGACGCGAAAUUAAAAGAGCAAAAAUAGUGCCCAGUGAUGCACAGACCGAUGCGCCGCAUCGAUGGGAUCGACACAAUGGCCGACGCGUCGCGUCCAGUUUGCAUUGAUUCACUGGAAUCGUAAUCUGAAGCUGGAAAAAUUAUUUGCCGAUGCAAUGGUCGACGCGUCACGUUCAGUUCACUUUGAUUCACUGGAAUCACACUCUGAAGCUGGAAAAAAUAUUUGUCAACGCAAUGGUUGA